AUACGGAGGGUGCAAGCGUUACUCGGAAUCACUGGGCGUAAAGCGCGCGCAGGCGGGCUGAUAAGUUGGAUGUGAAAGCCUACGGCUCAACCGUAGAACUGCAUCCAAAACUGUUAGUCUAGAGUCUGCGAGGGGAAGAUGGAAUUAGUUGUGUAGGGGUAAAAUCCGUAGAGAUAACUAGGAAUACCAAAAGCGAAGGCGAUCUUCUGGAACAGUACUGACGCUGAGGCGCGAAAGCGUGGGUAGCGAACGGAAUUAGAAACCCUAGUAGUCC
This 274-nucleotide ribosomal RNA is filed under the name uncultured bacterium. RNAcentral's name for it is "partial 16S ribosomal RNA". It matches the Rfam family "Bacterial small subunit ribosomal RNA", at positions 523 to 796 of the family's 1533-position model. The record is from RNAcentral.